AGAGUUUGAUCCUGGCUCAGAAUAAACGUUGGCGGUGCGCCUUAUGCAUGCAAGUCGAACGGGGUUACGGUCUUCGGAUUGUAACCUAGUGGCGAAUGGCUGAGUAACGCGUAAGUAACCUGCCUUGGAGUGGGAAAUAACUUGCCGAAAGGCAAGCUAAUGUCCCACGUGGUAACGAAGUAAAUGCUUUGUUAUUAAAGCCUUAGGGUGCUCCGAGAGGGACUUGCGUCUGAUUAGCUAGUUGGUAGGGUAAUGGCCUACCAAGGCGAUGAUCAGUAGCUGGUCUGAGAGGAUGGUCAGCCAGAUGGGGACUGAGACACGGCCCCAACUCCUACGGGAGGCAGCAGCAAGGAAUCUUGGGCAAUGAGCGAAAGCUCGACCCAGCGACACCGCGUGAGGGAAGAAGGCCUUCGGGUUGUAAACCUCUUUUCUUGGGGAAGAAUUCUGACGGUACCCAAGGAAUAAGCCUCGGCUAACUACGUGCCAGCAGCCGCGGUAAUACGUAGGAGGCGAACGUUAUUCGGAUUUACUGGGCGUAAAGGGAGCGUAGGCGGUUCCUUAAGUCAGAUGUGAAAUCUUCUGAUUCAAUCAGAAGGCGCCAUUUGAUACUGAGGGACUUGAGAAUAGCAGAGGGAAAUGGAAUCCCCAGUGUAGCGGUGAAAUGCGUAGAUAUUGGGGAGAACACCAGUGGCGAAGGCGAUUUUCCAGGUUGUUUCUGAUGCUGAGGCUCGAAAGCGUGGGGAGCGAAGCGGAUUAGAUACCCGCGUAGUCCACGCCCUAAACGGUGGACACUAGACAUGGGGAGGUAUCGACCCCUUUCUGUGUCGAAGCUAACGCCUUAAGUGUCCCGCCUGGGGAGUACGGCCGCAGGGCUAAAACUCAAAGGAAUUGACGG
This 895-nucleotide ribosomal RNA is filed under the name uncultured bacterium. Its description in RNAcentral is "bacterial SSU rRNA". It matches the Rfam family "Bacterial small subunit ribosomal RNA", at positions 8 to 916 of the family's 1533-position model. The record is from RNAcentral.